UAACCUGCCUGUAAGACUGGGAUAACUCCGGAAAACCGGAGCUAAUACCGGAUAGUUCCUUGAACCGCAUGGUUCAAGGAUGAAAGACGGUUUCGGCUGUCACUUACAGAUGGACCCGCGGCGCAUUAGCUAGUUGGUGAGGUAACGGCUCACCAAGGCGACGAUGCGUAGCCGACCUGAGAGGGUGAUCGGCCACACUGGGANCUGAGACACGGCCCAGACUCCUACGGGAGGCAGCAGUAGGGAAUCUUCCGCAAUGGACGAAAGUCUGACGGAGCAACGCCGCGUGAGUGAUGAAGGUUUUCGGAUCGUAAAGCUCUGUUGUUAGGGAAGAACAAGUGCAAGAGUAACUGCUUGCACCUUGACGGUACCUAACCAGAAAGCCACGGCUAACUACGUGCCAGCAGCCGCGGUAAUACGUAGGUGGCAAGCGUUGUCCGGAAUUAUUGGGCGUAAAGGGCUCGCAGGCGGUUUCUUAAGUCUGAUGUGAAAGCCCCCGGCUCAACCGGGGAGGGUCAUUGGAAACUGGGAAACUUGAGUGCAGAAGAGGAGAGUGGAAUUCCACGUGUAGCGGUGAAAUGCGUAGAGAUGUGGAGGAACACCAGUGGCGAAGGCGACUCUCUGGUCUGUAACUGACGCUGAGGAGCGAAAGCGUGGGGAGCGAACAGGAUUAGAUACCCUGGUAGUCCACGCCGUAAACGAUGAGUGCUAAGUGUUAGGGGGUUUCCGCCCCUUAGUGCUGCAGCUAACGCAUUAAGCACUCCGCCUGGGGAGUACGGUCGCAAGACUGAAACUCAAAGGAAUUGACGGGGGCCCGCACAAGCGGUGGAGCAUGUGGUUUAAUUCGAAGCAACGCGAAGAACCUUACCAGGUCUUGACAUCCUCUGACAACCCUAGAGAUAGGGCUUUCCCUUCGGGGACAGAGUGACAGGUGGUGCAUGGUUGUCGUCAGCUCGUGUCGUGAGAUGUUGGGUUAAGUCCCGCAACGAGCGCAACCCUUGAUCUUAGUUGCCAGCAUUCAGUUGGGCACUCUAGGUGACUGCCGGUGACAAACCGGAGGAAGGUGGGGAUGACGUCAAUCAUCAUGCCCCUU
RNAcentral lists this ribosomal RNA (1093 nucleotides) under Bacillus sp. (in: firmicutes). RNAcentral's name for it is "bacterial SSU rRNA". It matches the Rfam family "Bacterial small subunit ribosomal RNA", at positions 122 to 1203 of the family's 1533-position model. Lineage: Bacteria; Bacillati; Bacillota; Bacilli; Caryophanales; Bacillaceae. The record is from RNAcentral.